ACUGAAACAAGCAACGUGCUAUGAUGAUGCUGGCUGUGUUUGCCAUUCACAACAAGUCAGGUGGCACUGGGAGAUGACCACACCGUCGCUGUGUCAGCCUGUGAAACACACACCGGGCAUGCAGCCAGCUCUGAUGGGAUGUACACAAGAGGAGAAGAAAACCCGCUGCUGACUAAUCCUCGGGGAGCUAAAUGAAACAGGCUGAGAUCAAACCAGCUGCAAAUCCAGCUGUGGCCUGGAGAUGUUACCUGAGGUGUACAGAAGGACGGUGAAAUGAGCGGUGCAUGUGCAUCAGCACUAAGAGUUGGAAGCUGCGUGUCAUUUAGGUAGUAGUUGGUAGCCUGCAGCAGUUAACUGCCUGAUUGUGGAUGCUGUCUCGUACCUCAUUUCUUCAUAUCGCCGGUCCCUUCGUUCUGAAGGUGUCGGGUUUCUGUUCAUCGCUGUGAGCAGGCAAGUAAGACAGGAAGCAGAGGGAGGGAGAUAUCAGACAGGGAUGACUAACUGCUCAUUGGUACUAACAGGACACUUUCACGUGUGAGCCAACCUGUUUGUCACAGUGGCGCAAAACUGCAAUGACAAGAUGUUCAGCACGUUUAACGGUGGGAUCUCACUGGAGCAGACAAAAAUAAUUAAGAAAUGAGAAAAAGACUUACCAAAGGGAGCCUGCUGAGAUGUUUCAUGCUGCUGUAGCCUGGUUUGUAAUAUAGUCAUCGUAGAAAAACAAAUGAAAUAAUUAAAAGCACACUCUUUGGCAGUUUUUUUGUUAUAUCUUUAUUGAA
Molecule: long non-coding RNA, 779 nt
Organism: Pundamilia nyererei
Lineage: Eukaryota; Metazoa; Chordata; Actinopteri; Cichliformes; Cichlidae
Exons: 3
Source: RefSeq, a predicted model, not a curated record